GAUGAACGCUGGCGGUGUGCCUAAUACAUGCAAGUCGUACGCAUUCUCGUUUCUGAUUGACGGUGCUUGCACCUAAUUGACGAGACAUUGGAAUGAGUGGCGGACGGGUGAGUAACACGUGGGUAACCUGCCCAGAAGCGGGGAUAACAUUUGGAAACAGAUGCUAAUACCGCAUAAAAGUCAAAACCACAUGGUUUUGAUUUAAAAGAUGUCCUUUGUGCUAUCACUUCUGGAUGGACCCGCGGCGUAUUAGCUAGUUGGUAAGGUAAUGGCUACCAAGGCAAUGAUACGUAGCCGAACUGAGAGGUUGAUCGGCCACAAUGGGACUGAGACACGGCCCAUACUCCUGCGGGAGGCAGCAGUAGGGAAUCUUCCACAAUGGGCGCAAGCCUGAUGGAGCAACACCGCGUGAGUGAAGAAGGGUUUCGGCUCGUAAAACUCUGUUGUUAAAGAAGAACGUAUCUAAGAGUAACUGCUUAGGUAGUGACGGUAUUUAACCAGAAAGCCACGGCUAACUACGUGCCAGCCGCCGCCGUAA
Molecule: ribosomal RNA, 538 nt
Filed under: uncultured bacterium
Lineage: Bacteria
Description: partial 16S ribosomal RNA
Rfam family: Bacterial small subunit ribosomal RNA
Source: RNAcentral